UACGUAGGGUGCAAGCGUUGUCCGGAGUUACUGGGCGUAAAGGGUGCGCAGGCGGCCUCGCGCGUCGCGAGUGAAAUCUCCCGGCUCAACUGGGAGGGUGGUCGCGAGACGGCGGGGCUUGAGGCUCGGUGAGGGGCGUGGAAUUCCGGGUGGAGCGGUGAAAUGCGUAGAGAUCCGGAGGAACACCGACGGCGUAGGCAGCGCCCUAGACGAGACCUGACGCUCAAGCACGAAAGCGCGGGGAGCGAACAGG
RNAcentral lists this ribosomal RNA (253 nucleotides) under uncultured bacterium. Its description in RNAcentral is "partial 16S ribosomal RNA". It matches the Rfam family "Bacterial small subunit ribosomal RNA", at positions 524 to 776 of the family's 1533-position model. The record is from RNAcentral.